GACGAACGCUGGCGGCGUGCCUAAUACAUGCAAGUAGAACGCUGAAGGAGGAGCUUGCUUCUCUGGAUGAGUUGCGAACGGGUGAGUAACGCGUAGGUAACCUGCCUGGUAGCGGGGGAUAACUAUUGGAAACGAUAGCUAAUACCGCAUAAUAGCAGUUGUUGCAUGACAAAUGUUUGAAAGGUGCAAAUGCAUCACUACCAGAUGGACCUGCGUUGUAUUAGCUAGUUGGUGGGGUAAAGGCUCACCAAGGCGACGAUACAUAGCCGACCUGAGAGGGGGAUCGGCCACACUGGGACUGAGACACGGCCCAGACUCCUACGGGAGGCAGCAGUAGGGAAUCUUCGGCAAUGGACGGAAGUCUGACCGAGCAACGCCGCGUGAGUGAAGAAGGUUUUCGGAUCGUAAAGCUCUGUUGUAAGAGAAGAACGAGUGUGAGAGUGGAAAGUUCACACUGUGACGGUAUCUUACCAGAAAGGGACGGCUAACUACGUG
RNAcentral lists this ribosomal RNA (495 nucleotides) under uncultured bacterium. RNAcentral describes it as "partial 16S ribosomal RNA". It matches the Rfam family "Bacterial small subunit ribosomal RNA", at positions 28 to 507 of the family's 1533-position model. The record is from RNAcentral.